Long non-coding RNA from Lepidothrix coronata (blue-crowned manakin), 488 nucleotides. RefSeq lists it as uncharacterized. The transcript is spliced from 3 exons. Lineage: Eukaryota; Metazoa; Chordata; Aves; Passeriformes; Pipridae. The record is from RefSeq and is a predicted model, not a curated record.
GUGUCACUGGAGUUUGUGUUUGGCCUGGAACUGCUCUGUCCUGCAGUGUAGACUUGAGCAUAGGAAAGAGACUUUACAGGUAACCUGUGAUAGGCUUAGUCACUCAGGGUAGCAGUUCUCCGGUCCUCCCGGAGGCAACCCCUGCCCGCAGCGUGUGUGCAGUCACGAGAGCGGGCUUUUCUGGAGAUGAUGGGAGCAGUACGGCAGGGCCUUUAAGUUAGGUCAGUGUUUGUGCAGGUUGUCUUCAGAGCCCAGAUGGCUUAUCAGAAGAGAAAUUAAAAUUGCACAGCAGUUAAAGUCCCUCCAUUUAUAUGGCUGAAUUUGGUAUCUCAUUUCUUUGCAGUGUCAGAGGGACUGGAUGUAAAGCAGAGAUAAAAAGAAGAGGCUGGAGGAGCACAGUCAGAAGAUGCGGAGCCCUCGGCCCAGCAGACGAUAGGCACCGGAGGGAAGGUGAGCCUGGUGAGGAAGGCAAUGCACCGACAUCUAAC